GACGAACGCUGGCGGCGUGCUUAACACAUGCAAGUCGAACGGAAAGGCCCUGCUUUUGGGGGGUGGUCGAGUGGCGACCGGGGGAGUAACACGUGAGUAACCUACCCCUGCCUGUGGGGUAACUUCAUGACACUGGGGCUAAUACGGCCUAGGAUCUCCUGCCUCUUGGUGGGCGCUGGUUGGUUUCGGCGGUUGGGGAUGUGCUCGCGGCUUAUCAGCUUGUUGGGGGGGUAGUGGCUUACCAAGGCUUUGCGGGGUAGCCGGGCUGAGAGGGUAACCUGACAAACUGCGACUGGACUGCGACACAGCCUACAAUGGUACGGAGCGGAGGAGAAGAUUGCACAAUGGGAGGGGGGAUGAUGCAGCAACGCCGCGUGGGGGAUGAGAGGCUUGGGGUUGUGAACCGCUUCCGCCUGAGACGAAACGUGAAUGACGGUAACGGGUAAAGAAGCUCCGGCUAACUACGUG
This 468-nucleotide ribosomal RNA is filed under the name uncultured bacterium. Its description in RNAcentral is "partial 16S ribosomal RNA". It matches the Rfam family "Bacterial small subunit ribosomal RNA", at positions 28 to 507 of the family's 1533-position model. The record is from RNAcentral.